Long non-coding RNA from Mytilus californianus (California mussel), 1824 nucleotides. RefSeq lists it as uncharacterized. Lineage: Eukaryota; Metazoa; Mollusca; Bivalvia; Mytilida; Mytilidae. The record is from RefSeq and is a predicted model, not a curated record. The transcript has 2 exons.
CAUAACUAUUAAAAGUCUUAACAUUACUGCGAAGAAGGUUGCUAUAACCGUUGAAAGUGUUAACAUUACUCCAAAGGUGGUUGCCAUAACUGUUGAAAGUGUUAACAUUACUCCAAAGGUGGUUGCCAUAACUGUUGAAAGUGUUAACAUUACUCCAAAGGUGGUUGCCAUAACUGUUGAAAGUGUUAACAUUACUCUAAAGGUGGUUGCCAUAACUGUUGAAAGUGUUAACAUUACUCCAAAGGUGGUUGCCAUAACUGUUGAAAGUGUUAACAUUACUCUGAAAAAGGUUGCCCAUACCGUUGAAAGUGUUAACAUUACUCCAAAGGUGGUUGCCAUAACCGUUGAAAGUUUGAACAUUACUCUAUCGGUGGUUGACUUUUCUGUUGAAAGUGUUAACAUUAAUGCAAAGUUGGUUGCCAAUUCUGUUGACAAUGUUAACAAUACUCAAUAGUUGAUCGGCAUUAUUGUUGAAAGUGUUAAUAGUGUUCCAUAGGUGGAUGGCAUAAAUUUUACUCCAAAGGUGGUUGCCAUAACCGUUGAAAGUGUUAAUAGUUCCAUAGGUGGUUGCCAUAACCGUUGACAGUGUUAACACUACUCUAUCGGUGGUUGGCAUAACUGUUGAAAGUGUUAACAUUGCUCAAUUUGUGGUUGAUAUUACUGUUGAAAGUGUAAAAAGUACCCAAUUAGUAGUAACUAAUUGUAAAUCCUAAAUUUUAAAGGCUAGACGACCUGGAUACUUCAUUUUUUGUUUACAGAUGCCUUACAUUACAAGGUUCCAUCGGUCAUAUGUCUCAUAUUCAUGAUUAGACGAGUGCGUUAAAAACUAUAUUCUUUUUAAACCUGAAUUUCUCACUCGUUAUGCACAAUAGGGUAAGUAAAUUUGGUAUAUGGAAUCCUUGCAAGGUCUACCUUUUUGUGAGUCACAGUUCACCGUGACCUUAUUUACUGAACCAGUGAUCAAGGUUAGAUUUCGAUGUAUAUUUAAGUUUUUAUAAGGAAUAGGUCAACAACUAUAUUUGUCGUAUGGAAGGACUGUAGUGUGUACAUGUCUGUCUGUCAGGGUUCAUAAGACCUUGACCUCAUUUUCAUGGUUUAGUGGUAAAAGUUAAGUUUUGGAGUUUUGUCUGUUUACUAUUAGCGAGAGGCCAACUAUAUUUGGUGUAUGGAAUGAUUGUAUUGUACAUGUCAGAUUGACAGGGUUUAUAUGACCUUGGUCUCAUUUUCGUGGUACAUUGGUCAACGUUAAGUUUAAGUGGUUUUGUAUGUUUCUUAGAUACUUUUAGCAAUAGGUCAAGUAUAGUUGUUGCAUGGACUGAUUGAAACAUGUGCAGGGUUCACGUACCUUGAACUAAUUAAGGUUUAUAUAAGUUUUCUAGACCUGCUUUAAAAAAAUCUCAAAAUAUUAUUCAGAUAUAAAAAAUUAAGUAGGCGAGACAUUUCAGCGUGUGCAAUCUGGUUUUAUUUUGAGGGGACAUAAAAAUUUUGUUUCUCUAAAUAUUAAUUAUGUACAUCAUGUAUUGUCUUGAUAUAUAAAUUUCCUUUACACAAGACCAAGAAACAGAAAAAUUGCGAGAACAGCAGGCACAGAAGAGAAUAAUUAACUGUCAAAAACAAUUACUUAAUGCUAGAACAAAUAAUUUAAAUGUGAAUAAUUUUAUUUCAUUGCCAAUUCAAUUUUGCAUGUACACCUCCAUCUUUCAAAUCUACUUGUUUAAUUUUAUAGACUGGUUUCAGUAAUAAAACAUUGAAAUUUCUAAUGAUUAUUUUCUUUACCAAAUGUACAAGUUUGUUUAGAUUGAAAUAAAAUAAUAUGUUUUGCUU